GCCUACGGGGCGCAGCAGUGGGGGAUAUUGCACAAUGGGGGGAACCCUGAUGCAGCGACGCCGCGUGGGUGAAGAAGCGCCUCGGCGCGUAAAGCCCUUUCAGCAGGGAAGAAAAUGACGGUACCUGAAGAAGAAGCCCCGGCUAACUACGUGCCAGCAGCCGCGGUAAUACGUAGGGGGCAAGCGUUAUCCGGAUUUACUGGGUGUAAAGGGGGCGCAGACGGCGAUGCAAGCCAGGAGUGAAAGCCCGGGGCCCAACCCCGGGACUGCUCUUGGAACUGCGUGGGUGGAGUGCAGGAGGGGCG
This 305-nucleotide ribosomal RNA is filed under the name uncultured bacterium. RNAcentral's name for it is "bacterial SSU rRNA". It matches the Rfam family "Bacterial small subunit ribosomal RNA", at positions 337 to 659 of the family's 1533-position model. The record is from RNAcentral.